This is a long non-coding RNA of Lycium ferocissimum, 422 nucleotides long. RefSeq lists it as uncharacterized. Lineage: Eukaryota; Viridiplantae; Streptophyta; Magnoliopsida; Solanales; Solanaceae. The transcript has 3 exons. The record is from RefSeq and is a predicted model, not a curated record.
CCCUAGGGUUUCCCCAAAACAUAUAAGAUUCUUGAAACCCAAGAAAGAGAAGAAGAAAGGGACGUUUGGAGACGUUGAGAUUCCUUCAAUAAGUGUGAUUGUAGAACCUUGGGAAUUAUGUUUGAGCGGGAUUUGAGGUAUGUUUAUAUUUCAAAAAUUGUCUUUUCAAGUAUGUCUACUUUUGAAGUACGUUUAUAUUGUUAAAGCAUGAUUUGUAUUUGAGAAUCCUUUCUUGAUUUUUUGUAUAAGUUAUAACUCUUGUUUGGUGGAAGUUCUUUUGGAAUUAAAGAUGAUUUCUUUUAGACAAGGUCAUGUGUGUGUAGGGUGAAGCCCGCAUCGAACCUUAUAUGAACAAUACUACUUUGUGAAACUCGCUUUUCCCAUUAUUGGAUGAUUGAAAUAUUUUUUCUAAAGGUUGGACC